Molecule: long non-coding RNA, 3208 nt
Organism: Equus caballus (horse)
Lineage: Eukaryota; Metazoa; Chordata; Mammalia; Perissodactyla; Equidae
Source: Ensembl
UUAUGUUUUUGUUCUAUUAUUGGUGGAUAAAAGUAUGCCAAUUCAUCAUAAGAAACAUUUCUUCUUUGAAGUAAAAAUUGAGAGAAAUUACUAUGUCGGUUAUUAUACAAGGCACACAGUAAACAAAAUUUUCAACAAUGUUUUCCAGAAAAUGCAGACAGUUCUUAUACCAUUAAAAUGGACUCUAUAAAAGCAUGUAGUGAAAUACUAAAAACAACUCAGUAAACAUACUUCUAGGGGAACAGAGGGCUAAGGAUGUUGAAUAAUCAUUCAGUACAUAUUUAUAUUUAUUAAAUGUUAUGUACUGGUGACAGUGCAGUAAACAAAAGUGAGAAAGUUAUUCUUCUCGUGGCACUUACAUCAAUGGAAAAAUCGAGAUCCAAUUCUUGAGGGGAGAAGUUGUUAAUUUACUACUGCUCUUCCACUUUUAAUGAAAAAUCAAAAUAUAGCCAUAGCUCCAUCAAGAUUUUUUUAAACUGUAUGAAGUCAGAUAAAAAUAACAGCAUUAGGUGAUAGGAGAGAUGAUCUAUACUUAAUUUAAACUAUGUCAGGUUCAACUCUGAGAAGGCAGAUAUUUAGUAAUUGUCAGUUGUGAUAUAUAUUUGUAUACCAUAUUCUGUUUUACCUAAGCCAUAAACUCAGUGAGAGUAUCCUGAAAUCUAUUCUCAUUAAUUAUUUGUUCUGUAUUAGUCAACUAUAGCCACAAUAAAGCUGUAUAACAAACCGCUCUGAAAGAAGUGGCAUGCAAAUCAAGGUUUGAUUUCUCACUCUUGUGCUGUGGUUUGGCUGGAGUUCAGUUGAUCCAAGGCUGUGAUCAAUUCUUGACCAUGGGUUUGGUUCAGAUAAAUAUGCAGUUAUAAGAAAUAACACAGAGAUUCCAUAUACCUUCACCCAGUUUCUCCCAAAGGUAACAUCUUGCAAAACUAGGGUAUAAUGUCACAAACAGACAAAUGACACUGAUACUAUCCACCAAUCUUAUUCAGAUUUCACCAAUUUUACAUGCACUUGUAUAUAUAUGUGUGUCUGUGUAUGUGUAAUGCUACCAAUCUUAUGUGAAGAGUCAUAUGAACACCACCAGCACAAUAAGACACAGAAUAGUUCCAUUACAGGGAUCCCUUGUGCUAUCCUUCUAUAGCUACAGCCAACCUCUGCUCUCCCCUACCAACUCAUGACGACUACGAAUUGGUCCUCUAUCUCAAAAUUUUGUCUGUUUAAGAAUGUUAUAUAAAAGGAAUCACAUAGUAUGUAACCUUUGAAAUUGGCAUUUUUCAGUUUGAAUAAUUCCCUUGAGAUCCAUCCAAGUUGUUAUGUGUAUCAAUAGUUUGCUCCUUUUUAUUGUUGAAUAGUAUUCCAUGGUAUGAUGACCCACAGUCUACUUAACCAGUCACCUAUUGUAGGACAAUGUUUUUCUAUAAUUUUGGCAAUUAUGAAAUAAAUCUACUAUUAAUAUUCAUUUAUAGGUUUUACGUGAACCUAAGUUUUUGUUUCUCUAGGAUAAAUGUCCAAUAGUUUAAUUGCUGGGUCAGAUGGAAAACAAAUGUGUAGUUUUAUAUGAAAUUUCCAUAUUAUUUUCCAAAGCAGCUGUAGCAUUUUACAUUCUUUUGAGAAAUGUAUGAAUGAUCCAGAUUCUCUAAAAAUAAUAUAUCUUCUAAAAUGUGCUGGGAUAAUGAGGCCUCUAUUUUACAAAAUAUGGAUAAAAUGUCAGUUUAUUAACACUCACUUUAUAGGAACUGAAGAAGUAUGCGUUUCUUGGAAACUGUUUAAAACAAGGCUUAAAGCAGUGUUCAAGAACUAGAAAACUUCUCACAAAACUCAAGAAACUUCACUUUAAUACCAUCUUCUGAAAACUCUAAUCUUGCUUUUUAAUUUAUGGAAUUAUAUAUUUCAAUGUAUAAAAUAAAAUUAUCAUGGAUUAUAGUGGUUUCAUAAAUAUAACCUGAUGAUGACAAUAAAUAGUUUGAGAUGACUAUGAUAUAAUAGGUUACGCCAAUCUCUAUGUAUUUUGGGAUGCCAUAGCUCCAAAAGAAAUGGCUCUGUAGUUUGUAUAAGUAAAGAAAGUACAAACUGAGGGUCAUACCUUUAAUGUUAUAACCAUUGGGGUUGUUUUUGUUUUUCUUCUGCUUAUUAAUGUGGUUCUCAAAUUUAGCUGUUUAUCAGAAUGGCAUAUGAAUUUUAAAAAACUACCGAGACUCAUGCCAAAAAGCAGACAUAUGGAAUAAGAAUCUCAAGAGUUGCAAUCCAAGCAAUAUAAAUGACUCUAGAACACAGCAAAGUUGUGAACCACUGGUUUUGCCUUAAGUCAACCUGGUUUUAUUAAUUGAGUGACUAUGGUAGUAAAGGAAUCUUUAGACACAAUAAUCAAAGAAUCUUGUUUUGUCACUUCUCUGUCACACACACAAAAACUCACCAGAUUUGUAUGAUCCUCAUAUAUUUACUAUAAAAGUAACAAAAUUCCUUUUUAAAAGCACAGAGCAGUCCACUGGCUCCAGUUGAGCAAAAUCUAUUUUCUAUCCUCAGGUCCUUUUUAAUUUUGCUCACCAAACUUACAAUCUUGACUCCUGAAUUUGUCUUGUACACUGGUCUAUCUCAUUUUGUUUUUACUUGAUGACACCUAUAGCUUUUAUGAUGCAGUCUAAAUUUCCAGCCAAUUCUGCUUUCAAAGUCUUUUUAUUCUGUGUUAAGAGGUCUCGGAGAAUACUGUACAAUUUUGUUUUUUCCUUCAUGUAUUAAGAGUUUUCAGACUCCAAUUUCAUUAAACCAGGGAUUUCAGAGGAAAGUUCACUGAAUUCUGUGACCAUGGGAGGAUGGUGAUGGGAGAGGGGGUACAGUCUAUUUAGAGAGGUGGGGGCAGUGGGUUUUUUUAUUUUAGUGAAAUCAUUGUCAGUUCACCAUUUUAUCAGUGUAGGGUUUUACUGAAUGAUUUACCACCUUCAAGUAAGAACAGAGCAGCAGAUCAAGUCUUUUGGACAUUUUCCUAUCCUGAAUCAGUGGUUCUGGGCUACAAUCUCCCCAGUAAUUCAUAAGUGAGGUUGGAAAGGUCUGACUUUCAGGAGCCAUUAAUCAACACUCUUUCUGCAGUAAGUUGCAAACACUAGCAUUAUAAUGCUUGCUAUCAGAUAUGUUCCUAGGUGUGUAUCCUGGGCCUUGUCAAAGGAAGUGAAAACUUCCAAGGAUCAGUAAACUUGGAACACUUCUUAUUCAUCUCUGA